GCAAAGAUAAAUGGAUAAAAGGACAGUCCAACUCCUCAGCUGGCUGAAAGACAUCGUCAUCCAUUUUUGGUGGUGUUGUAAGACAGCUGACACAGCUGAGCAGUUUCUUUUCUGUUUUAGCAAGCAAUUAAUUACCAUGUCUGUGACAUUCACAUCUGGACUAUGGAAAGCUGUCACCAUGUGUACCUGGAAUAAAUGGAUGGAAAGGAGUGAGAGAGAGACUCCAAGUGCCACAAAGCUUGAAUGGACAGAGUUCUCAAUCAGUGUUGGCAGAAGGAUGUACAUGAAUAUGUGCACUUUAGGUAAAUAUGCAGUACCAGUCAAAAGUUUGGACACACCUUUUAAUUCAAUGGAUUUUCUUUAUUUUUAUUAAUUAAGACACGUCAUAAAGUAAUAAUGGAUAAUUAUUUACAGUACUAGUGCACCCCCUUUUAUUUAUUUAUUUAUUUUUUUAAAAACACGUUUUAUAUUCAAGUGAUCAUUUGCAUGCACACUCAAGGUUGUAUAAUGAAUAACUGAUAAUGGUUGACAUUUGUGUAACUGUGCAAUUGUGGAAGGGAAACAGGCAAGUAAAACAGCCCGCCUGUCCCUGUCUCUUUAGUCUCUCAAACCCUGCUGUGUCAGUGUUUUAUCUGAAAAUUUUAAAAUAUACCCAAAUUAAAAAUAGUAUUUAAUGUGAGCAUUGUCAAUAUUAUUUUUUCACACAAAAUAUAGCUGUCACACAGUAUCACGUCAUUUCUACCAGAACAAUGUAAUUUUCCUCAAAAAGGUCUGUAUGGGGGGGUUGUUUAGGUAGUUGCUAUGGAAAUGGACAGUGAUGACAGAGCAUAUGUCUGAUAUGGGGGAGAUGCACAUCUUUAUAUACAGCUAUUGAACAAAUAUCAAGGUGAAUAUUGCUUGGGCAGAAAAUAUUUUUACUGGAUGUCUUUUCCAAACAUGCUGUACCUUCAUGGAUGUUUGUAAGAGGAUAGAUUUUUUUUUUAAGUUAAACAAGUGUAUUUUGUGUGUAUCAUAUGCUAACUAUCAAUUUACAGCUAAUAUGUCAAGCUACCUCACAGUUGUUUUUUGUUCACAAAAUACUGUAGAAAUGUCAUUUCCACCACACUUCCCUCUGUGGUAUAAACGACAUCUAUGUUGAUAAGGUACAAGUAAUAUGGAUUGCAAAAAUAGAUGUCAUACUAUGUUUAUAUCUUAAAUAAAAUUAAUUUUAUUUAA
Neoarius graeffei (lesser salmon catfish) is the source of this 1215-nucleotide long non-coding RNA. RefSeq lists it as uncharacterized. The record is from RefSeq and is a predicted model, not a curated record. The transcript has 2 exons. Lineage: Eukaryota; Metazoa; Chordata; Actinopteri; Siluriformes; Ariidae.